CAGAUUUUCAAGAAAUUUAUCAACAACAACAAAAAAUGACGUACACCUCAUGAUUCAGAUGGAGGGAUAACUCUCAUACAUAUAUUUAUAUUCUAAUUUGCCACGCUUAAACGAAUAUAACUUAUCUGAUACAUAAAACAUUAUAAAUUGGAUAAGUGUAACAUCCUGGUACCUUUCAUAACUAUUUAUACCACUGGGUCGAUGCCACUGCUGGUGGACGUUUUGUCCCCGCGGGUAUCACCAGCUCAGUAGUUGUCACUUCGGUGUUGACAUGAAUACCAAUUAUAUGGUAAUUUUAAUAAAUUUCCUGUUGAUAAAAAAAAAUCGAAAAACUAAGGAUUUUUUUAUCCGAGGAAUAGAUUACUUUAUCAGUAUUUGGCACAACUGUUUAGAAUUUCGGGUCCUCAAUGCUCUUCAACUUUGUACUUGUUUGGCUGUAUAACUUUUUUGAUCUGAGCGUCACUGAUGUAGAUGAAACGCGCGUCUGGCAUAUUAAAUUAUAAUCCUGGAACCUUUGAUAACGAUUGUGAUCCCAGCUUAUUGAAUAAUAAUAUUCAACCUUAGCAUACCAGUUUAACGUCUUCGAUAAGUGCAUUAAAUGCAACGAAACUUAAAUAUUUGAGAUAAUAUCCAUCACUGGAAGUUAUCAAACAAAUGUGUUCCACUGGUUUCCAGUGAACAAGCUUAAGUGAACUAAUUAGUCUCUUCAAGUUUCCAAAAAAUGCUUUAAAAACACAAAAUAAAAUGGUGCAUUAAAAUACACAAGAUAU
Molecule: long non-coding RNA, 770 nt
Filed under: Mytilus galloprovincialis (Mediterranean mussel)
Lineage: Eukaryota; Metazoa; Mollusca; Bivalvia; Mytilida; Mytilidae
Source: RNAcentral